UGGCGAACGGGUGAGUAUCACGUGAGUAACCUGCCCUUGACUCUGGGAUAAGCCCGGGAAACUGGGUCUAAUACUGGAUAGGACUGGCCAUCGCAUGGUGGUUGGUUGAAAGCUUUUGCGGUUUUGGAUGGACUCGCGGCCUAUCAGCUUGUUGGUGGGGUAAUGGCCUACCAAGGCUUUGACGGGUAGCCGGCCUGAGAGGGUGACCGGCCACACUGGGACUGAGACACGGCCCAGACUCCUACGGGAGGCAGCAGUGGGGGAUAUUGCACAAUGGGCGCAAGCCUGAUGCAGCGACGCCGCGUGAGGGAUGACGGCCUUCGGGUUGUAAACCUCUUUCAGUUGGGAAGAAGCCUUUCGGGGUGACGGUACCUUCAGAAGAAGCACCGGCUAACUACGUGCCAGCAGCCGCGGUAAUACGUAGGGUGCGAGCGUUAUCCGGAAUUAUUGGGCGUA
This 456-nucleotide ribosomal RNA is filed under the name uncultured bacterium. RNAcentral describes it as "bacterial SSU rRNA". It matches the Rfam family "Bacterial small subunit ribosomal RNA", at positions 96 to 562 of the family's 1533-position model. The record is from RNAcentral.